CACAGACAACCAGGAUGUUGGCUUAGAAGCAGCCACUCAUUCAAAGAGUGCGUAAUAGCUCACUGGUCGAGUGAUCCUGCGCCGAAGAUUUCCGGGGCUAAAACUUACUACCGAAGCUACGGCAUCAGUAAUGAUGGGUAGGGGAGCUUCCCAUACGGGUUGAAGCAUGACCGUAAGGACAUGUGGACAGUAUGGGAGUGAGAAUGUUGGCAUGAGUA
RNAcentral lists this ribosomal RNA (218 nucleotides) under Clostridioides difficile. RNAcentral's name for it is "partial 23S ribosomal RNA". It matches the Rfam family "Bacterial large subunit ribosomal RNA", at positions 1084 to 1308 of the family's 2925-position model. Lineage: Bacteria; Bacillati; Bacillota; Clostridia; Peptostreptococcales; Peptostreptococcaceae. The record is from RNAcentral.